RNAcentral lists this ribosomal RNA (419 nucleotides) under bacterium. Its description in RNAcentral is "partial 16S ribosomal RNA". It matches the Rfam family "Bacterial small subunit ribosomal RNA", at positions 355 to 776 of the family's 1533-position model. The record is from RNAcentral.
UGGGGGAUAUUGCACAAUGGGCGAAAGCCUGAUGCAGCGACGCCGCGUGGGGGAUGAAGGCCUUCGGGUUGUAAACUUCUUUUGCUCUGAACAAGGCGCACCAUGGGGUGUGUUGAGUGUAGGGGUUGAUUAGCGCCGGCUAACUACGUGCCAGCAGCCGCGGUAAUACGUAGGGCGCGAGCGUUGUCCGGAAUUAUUGGGCGUAAAGGGCUUGUAGGUGGCUGGUUGCGUCUGUCGUGAAAGCUCAUGGCUUUACUGUGGGUUUGCGGUGGGUACGGGCUGGCUGGAGUGCAGUAGGGGAGGCUGGAAUUCCUGGUGUAGCGGUGGAAUGCGCAGAUAUCAGGAGGAAUACCGGUGGCGAAGGCGGGUCUCUGGGCUGUUACUGACACUGAGGAGCGAAAGCAUGGGGAGCGAACAGG